Long non-coding RNA from Pan troglodytes (chimpanzee), 474 nucleotides. RefSeq lists it as uncharacterized. The transcript has 3 exons. The record is from RefSeq and is a predicted model, not a curated record. Lineage: Eukaryota; Metazoa; Chordata; Mammalia; Primates; Hominidae.
CUGACUCUCUUUUCGGACUCAGCCCACCUGCACCCAGGUGAUUAAAAGCUUUAUUGCUCACACAAAGCCUGUUUGGUGGUCUCUUCACACGGACGCGCCUGAAAUUUGGUGCUGCGACUUGGAUUGGGGGACCUCCCUUGGGAGCUCAAUCCCCUGUCCUCCUGUUCUUUGCUCCGUGAGAAGGAUCCACCUACGACCUCAGGUCCUCAGACCGACCAGCCCAAGGAACAUCUCACCAAUUUUAAAUCAGCCACUUCCAGAGCCCCUGGAACUCUGGCCCAAGGCUCUCUGACUGCUUCCCAGAUCUUCUCGGCUUAGCGGCUGAAGACUGACGCUGCCCAAUCGCCUCGGAAGCCCCCUAGACCAUCACGGACGCCGAGCUUCAGGGCACCAGAAAACCCCAAGACCAGGAUUGAGCAUUCCUUUCAUUCAGCCACAAGAGAGGACCCAGGAGCCAAAAGAAGCCAGGAAGCC